UUGAGUUUAGAGUGGUAAUAAAGUAUGAAUUGUUUUUGUACCUCUCGAAGAGUCUCUGCCACUGACGCACGUGACUUUUUGGAGAGAAGAUAUUGGGUUGGGAAGUAAUUUUUUAGCGAUUCCUCCGAUAAUCAGCAGUCAUUUCAGAAGGCUGUUCUUUUUCCGCUUUUAACUUUAAAAAUUGCACUUGCGAAGAACCAGUCGUUUACUUUCAACGCACUCCUCCAUACCAAAGAUGCUCUCUUUACCUCAUUGUCCUGCUGC
This 264-nucleotide long non-coding RNA is filed under the name Elaeis guineensis (African oil palm). RNAcentral describes it as "long non-coding RNA (EGUI_LNC036184)". Lineage: Eukaryota; Viridiplantae; Streptophyta; Magnoliopsida; Arecales; Arecaceae. The record is from RNAcentral.